GAUGAAGAACGCAGCGAAAUGCGAUAUGUAAUGUGAAUUGCAGAAUUCAGUGAAUCAUCGAAUCUUUGAACGCACCUUGCGCCCUUUGGCUAUUCCGAAGGGCAUGCCUGUUUGAGUAUCAUGAACACCUCAACCCUCAUGGUUUGCCAUGACGGGCUUGGACUUUGGGGGUCUUGCUGGAUUGUAGUCAGCUCCCCUUAAACAAAUCAGCUUGCCAGUGUUUGGUGGCAUCACAGGUGUGAUAACUAUCUACGCUUGUGGUUUUACAUCAGAUAACCUUCAGUGAUGGAGGUUCACUGGAGCUCAUAAAGGUGUCUCUCCUCUGUGAGGACAGCUCUUUGAAUGUUUGAUCUCAAAUCAGGCAGGACUACCCGCUGAACUUAAGCAUAUCAAUAAGCGGAGGA
Molecule: unclassified non-coding RNA, 404 nt
Filed under: soil metagenome
Description: partial contains 5.8S ribosomal RNA, internal transcribed spacer 2, and large subunit ribosomal RNA
Rfam family: 5.8S ribosomal RNA (bases 1-121)
Source: RNAcentral